GACGAACGCUGGCGGCGUGCUUAACACAUGCAAGUCGAACGGAAAGGCCCUGCUUUUGUGGGGUGCUCGAGUGGCGAACGGGUGAGUAACACGUGAGUAACCUGCCCUUGACUUUGGGAUAACUUCAGGAAACUGGGGCUAAUACCGGAUAGGAGCUCCUGCUGCAUGGUGGGGGUUGGAAAGUUUCGGCGGUUGGGGAUGGACUCGCGGCUUAUCAGCUUGUUGGUGGGGUAGUGGCUUACCAAGGCUUUGACGGGUAGCCGGCCUGAGAGGGUGACCGGCCACAUUGGGACUGAGAUACGGCCCAGACUCCUACGGGAGGCAGCAGUGGGGAAUAUUGCACAAUGGGCGGAAGCCUGAUGCAGCAACGCCGCGUGCGGGAUGACGGCCUUCGGGUUGUAAACCGCUUUCGCCUGUGACGAGGCGUGAGUGACGGUAAUGGGUAAAGAAGCACCGGCUAACUACGUGCCAGCAGCCGCGGUGAUACGUAGGGUGCGAGCGUUGUCCGGAUUUAUUGGGCGUAAAGGGCUCGUAGGUGGUUGAUCGCGUCGGAAGUGUAAUCUUGGGGCUUAACCCUGAGCGUGCUUUCGAUACGGGUUGACUUGAGGAAGGUAGGGGAGAAUGGAAUUCCUGGUGGAGCGGUGGAAUGCGCAGAUAUCAGGAGGAACACCAGUGGCGAAGGCGGUUCUCUGGGCCUUUCCUGACGCUGAGGAGCGAAAGCGUGGGGAGCGAACAGGCUUAGAUACCCUGGUAGUCCACGCUGUAAACGGUGGGUACUAGGUGUGGGGUCCAUUCCACGGGUUCCGUGCCGUAGCUAACGCUUUAAGUACCCCGCCUGGGGAGUACGGCCGCAAGGCUAAAACUCAAAGGAAUUGACGGGGCCCCGCACAAGCGGCGGAGCAUGCGGAUUAAUUCGAUGCAACGCGUAGAACCUUACCUGGGUUUGACAUGGAUCGGGAGUGCUCAGAGAUGGGUGUGCCUCUUUUGGGGUCGGUUCACAGGUGGUGCAUGCCUGUCGUCAGCUCGUGUCGUGAGAUGUUGGGUUAAGUCCCGCAACGAGCGCAACCCUUGUUCACUGUUGCCAGCACGUUAUGGUGGGGACUCAGUGGAGACCGCCGGGGUCAACUCGGAGGAAGGUGGGGAUGACGUCAAGUCAUCAUGCCCCUUAUGUCCAGGGCUUCACGCAUGCUACAAUGGCUGGUACAGAGAGUGGCGAGCCUGUGAGGGUGAGCGAAUCUCGGAAAGCCGGUCUCAGUUCGGAUUGGGGUCUGCAACUCGACCUCAUGAAGUCGGAGUCGCUAGUAAUCGCAGAUCAGCAACGCUGCGGUGAAUACGUUCCCGGG
Molecule: ribosomal RNA, 1343 nt
Filed under: uncultured bacterium
Lineage: Bacteria
Description: 16S ribosomal RNA
Rfam family: Bacterial small subunit ribosomal RNA
Source: RNAcentral